Long non-coding RNA from Acanthochromis polyacanthus (spiny chromis), 1534 nucleotides. RefSeq lists it as uncharacterized. Lineage: Eukaryota; Metazoa; Chordata; Actinopteri; Pomacentridae. The record is from RefSeq and is a predicted model, not a curated record. The transcript is spliced from 3 exons.
GAUGGUGAUAAUGAAGGUGCAGCUCUUCCUGUAAACCCGUCUCCUGGUUUCCAUCGACUGCGUCCUCCAGAAACUCUGACUCUGAUCGGUGACUUGGCAGAAAUGAUAAUCUCUUCCCCCACAAUGCACUGCAGUGGCGUUACUGAGCGCGCUCCAAACGACUGGAGAACAGCGAGGAGAAAUGAGGUCACACUCACUCAGAGAGCCUCGUGGGCAUCGGACCAGAACUAAUUCUGUCUUAUCUGCUGCUAUAAAAAGAUCAAAGCAGUGAAGCAGCCGAGAACCGCAGACUGAAGCUCUGCAGCAGGAACCAGCAGGAACUGGCACCAAUACAAGAACCAGCACCAAUACUGGAACCAGCUUAGAACCAGGGCGGCACAGCUGCAGGAUCUGAGGAACCGGCAUCGUCAGAAUGACGGCGUCAAACGUCUCUCUGCCUCCCGCCUUUUUCUCCACCUCCCAUGAUGCACCACAGUGGUACAGGCCGGUCACAUGAUGCUCGAAGAACAAAUCAGCUCCUGACAAACAAACGGAAUCAAAGUUUAAAUUUAAAGAAAAGUUUAAAACAAACCUAAGGAAUAAAGUUUAAAACGACAUUUGUUGGGUUCUCCAUCUAAUGGUAAACUACUUCCUGUCUGGGAGAGGUUUGGUUCAUGGAUCACAGAAGAAGAAACAAAGCAAGCGUCCCCCUGCUGAGAAACAGCAAAGAUCAGAGCCUCUACAGGUGUGACUGGUCAGACAGGUGAGGGAGGUCAGGUGGUCCACAGGUGAGAACAGACACCUGGAACUCCACAACAGGAAGCAGAACUGAGGAACGUCUGAGAUGAAACAUCUUCAAGAACCAAAAACAAGUUCAGCUGAUGCUACUGGAGCUAACAGAGUCAGGCCAGGAAGUGUUCACCUGACUCAGACAGGAAGUGUUUGACCACACUGCCCAUGCCCAGCGGCGCCAUGUAGUUCUUGCUGUCGUCUUUCUGCCGCAGACCUUCGAUCUGACAGCUGAGCGGCUGCAGGACUCCGGCUGACAGCAGCUCUGAGUAGAAACUGAAACAAAACAAACACAACAGCUGAUCUCUGAUGAACAAACUGUCCCUGAAUGCAGCCUCCUGGAGGACAGGUGAACCUGUGGUGUUCAGGUGUGGUGUUCAGGUGUACCUGUGGUGGGACUGAGCGUAGGCAGGUGUGGCAGUGAUGUAUUGAGCUCCCAGGUCAGCUGAGUGUGAUGAGGCGUUUGGAGGACGGCUGGUGAACAUCCGACCACCUGAGACAGAACAGCUGAACCCGGUUCGGCUGUGAGUUCGGGAACAUUAAAUCCUCUGGUUUCUGGAUGGACUUCUGUCUCACCUGCUCCUCUGGAUUUGUCCCAAACCACGAUAUGAACUUUGCUCUGCAGCUCCCUCCUCAGCAGACAUGCGCAGAUGCUGCCGGUCAGACCCGCUCCGACUAUCAGAACCCGAGACAUCUUCAGCUCCGAACCGGACCGGACUCACGGUACCGGCGGACACAGAAUAACAGGUUCGGGUCAAAUCCUCCA